RNAcentral lists this transfer RNA (69 nucleotides) under Aborichthys elongatus. Its description in RNAcentral is "tRNA-Gly". The record is from RNAcentral. Lineage: Eukaryota; Metazoa; Chordata; Actinopteri; Cypriniformes; Nemacheilidae.
AUCUUUCAAGUAUUUAAUGUACAAAUGACUUCCAAUUAUUUAGUCUUGGUUAAACCCCAAGGAAAGAUA